Molecule: ribosomal RNA, 425 nt
Filed under: uncultured bacterium
Lineage: Bacteria
Description: partial 16S ribosomal RNA
Rfam family: Bacterial small subunit ribosomal RNA
Source: RNAcentral
GUGGGGAAUCUUGCGCAAUGGGCGAAAGCCUGACGCAGCAACGCCGCGUGCGGGAUGAAGGCCUUCGGGUUGUAAACCGCUUUCAGCAGGGACGAAAAUGACGGUACCUGCAGAAGAAGCUCCGGCUAACUACGUGCCAGCAGCCGCGGUAAUACGUAGGGAGCAAGCGUUGUCCGGAUUUAUUGGGCGUAAAGAGCUCUUAGGCGGUUUCGUAAGUCGAGUGUGAAAAAUCUGGGCUUAACCCAGUGGAGCACUCGAUACUGCGAUGAGUUAAGUCUGGGAGAGGAGUGGGGAAUUCCUGGUGUAGCGGUGAAAUGCGCAGAUAUCAGGAGGAACACCAACGGCGAAGGCAGCACUCUGGGCCAGUACUGACGCUGAGGAGCGAAAGCGUGGGGAGCAAACAGGAUUAGAUACCCGAGUAGUCC